UACGGAGGGUGCAAGCGUUAAUCGGAAUUACUGGGCGUAAAGGGUGCGUAGGUGGUUUGUUAAGUUAGCUGUGAAAUCCCUGGGCUUAACCUGGGGUGGUCAGCUAAGACUGAUGGACUCGAGUAUGGGAGAGGGUAGUGGAAUUUCCGGUGUAGCGGUGAAAUGCGUAGAGAUCGGAAGGAACACCAGUGGCGAAGGCGGCUACCUGGCCUAAUACUGACACUGAGGCACGAAAGCGUGGGGAGCAAACAGG
Molecule: ribosomal RNA, 253 nt
Filed under: uncultured Legionella sp.
Lineage: Bacteria; Pseudomonadati; Pseudomonadota; Gammaproteobacteria; Legionellales; Legionellaceae
Description: partial 16S ribosomal RNA
Rfam family: Bacterial small subunit ribosomal RNA
Source: RNAcentral